UUGACAGCUUCAGACAAUGAAGCGCUCUGUUUAUCCACAGGACAGGGACAGCACAGCCCUGUGCGAGUAUCCCUACGCUGCCCCACCAUUGUGCCUCAAUCCUGACAUGGGCAGGCCACCUCUUGGAGUAAGCAGGUAGCUUAGGCCCAUAUCCUACAAAAGUCUACG
This 168-nucleotide small RNA is filed under the name Gopherus agassizii (Agassiz's desert tortoise). RNAcentral describes it as "TUC338 (ENSGAGG00000024866.1)". Lineage: Eukaryota; Metazoa; Chordata; Testudines; Testudinidae. The record is from RNAcentral.